CUUGAGGGGCAGUGGCUAUAAGCCAAAGGAAAGGCAAGCAGGCUGCCCUGACACGAGGCAAAAGGAAUGCACAUCCUGGCUUCUGCAUAAGCAUUCUGCCACACUACGCAAGCCCAGGCUGUUCAUCACUUGCCAUCACAGGAAAACGGGGUAUGUGCCUGAGAGAGCCACUCACAGUGCCGAGCAUGGUGACGCAAAUCUUCUCGUUUGAACCUCUUCACCACGGGAUGGGGUAAGUAUUUAUGGCUGGCCUCCCUUCAUAGCUGAGGAAUCGGGGGCACAAAAAAGAGUAAACUAGCUUCACAAAGGCCAAGCAACCAGUUGGUGCCAGAGUCGGGUUCAAAUCUGAGUCUGUGCCUGCGUGGGACAAGAG
This 373-nucleotide long non-coding RNA is filed under the name Rattus norvegicus (Norway rat). Its description in RNAcentral is "long non-coding RNA NONRATT031607". Lineage: Eukaryota; Metazoa; Chordata; Mammalia; Rodentia; Muridae. The record is from RNAcentral.